Salvia splendens (bonfire salvia) is the source of this 1277-nucleotide long non-coding RNA. RefSeq lists it as uncharacterized. The record is from RefSeq and is a predicted model, not a curated record. The transcript is spliced from 2 exons. Lineage: Eukaryota; Viridiplantae; Streptophyta; Magnoliopsida; Lamiales; Lamiaceae.
UGAAGUGUUGGUGGUGGUGGGUGUAAAUAAGGAAAAUAGCUUGCUGUGUAGCUCAGUAGUGGUAGAUUUGAAGUCUAAUAAAAAAAGAUCACGUGUGCAUUGGAUGGCAUGAUAAAGCGUUGGUGUGUGGUAGUGCUGGAACUGCAUUUCAUUGAUCAGUGAUCUCCAUAUCUCUGGGACUGGUAUUUCUUGUUUGGCUGGGGAUAUUUGGUUUGGUUGCUCGGACAUGGAUCUCACAUAUGAAGUUGUGAAAUGGAAAACAUGGGGUGGGACUUGUAUUUCUUGUUUGGCUGGGGAUAUUUGGUUUGGUUGCUCGGACAUGGAUCUCACAUAUGGAAGUUGUGAAAUGGAAAACAUGGGUUGAUGAAGGAAUAGUUGAGUACUUAUGGUUCGAAGUUCUUAAAUUGCUGAAUUAUUGUCGAUCAAAUUUUCAGCUAGGGAAAAACUAGAUGCUACCCAAAUGGGCAAUUUCAGCUUUCGAUUAAUUUCUCCUCGCCUUUCCCCCCCAUAGUCAGAAUAUUUUAUAAAUAAUGUACAUAUACUGCAUAACCUAACUUGUUUAGUGUCAAUAGUUUACCUGUUUCUUUUCUCUAUGUUUCCUUCCCAAUCGUCUGUUUAGACCCCUUGCGCUUUCCUGCUCAGAUACUCUUGUAUUCCCGUACAUUGGCUGUCUGAGUUGGUUCAGCUUCUUUUUUAUCCUUCUUCCAUUUUCUUCUACUCUGGUUAGAGAUGUUACUGACUUCUGAUCUAGGUUUUCCCUUCGCCAAUUUCUUGGUUUUAAAAAAAGAAAAGCGGGAAUGGGAAUAGGACAGUCCAUCUUUUCUCUCGUAGUACUUCAGUCCAAUAGUAGUUGAGUUUGUUCUUGCAAGCUUCGCCUUUCUCUUCGGUAUAACUUUUUUUCCCUCUUUUAUUGCCUAGGGAUGAUCCUUUCUGAGCAGGUCUUACCUUUACCCCUUUCCUUGCUGGUCUUUAGUUCCAUCGACAUUGGAGAUUGUUGAUUAUAUGAAGUUGUUCCCAGUCAGUGCUUGUAGCUGAUGGAACAUUAAUGCUUGUAGAGGCCAUUCCAGUAUAGCGUAUCACUGAUCUUUGUAGGUUGUGUUCUUUGUUUUAUGAUGUGUGGUAGUCUGUCUUAUUGUGAAGUAUGAACAUCCUAGUGUCAUAUCUGAGUCUUAUGUUUCUUAUAGUUGUGAUCUCUUGCCUAUGUUUUGUUGAGAUGUUGUUUGGAUUGUGUAGUUUUCUUAUUGCCAAGCAAGUUAUCCUUCCAUUCUUGAUUUCAA